Molecule: unclassified non-coding RNA, 215 nt
Filed under: uncultured fungus
Lineage: Eukaryota; Fungi
Description: sequence contains ITS1
Source: RNAcentral
GUAUUUGUUUAAGGCCUUAACGGCACUAAUCACGUUCAAUGUUAUAAUAAGGAGUUUGUAAUAAAAAGAGAGGGGUCAACCUAGACGGAAAACCCCUCAGAUGUGCACAGGUGUAUGGAUAAGGAUUGUCGGAGGCGAGCACAUGCCAAUAAAGGCCAGCAUCAACCCCCUUUAACAAUUCGUUAAUGAUCCUUCCGCAGGUUCACCUACGGAAA